This 1154-nucleotide long non-coding RNA is filed under the name Salmo salar (Atlantic salmon). Its description in RNAcentral is "lncRNA (ENSSSAG00000114756.1)". Lineage: Eukaryota; Metazoa; Chordata; Actinopteri; Salmoniformes; Salmonidae. The record is from RNAcentral.
GAGAGAUGAUGUGGAGGCGUGGGACUCAGUGAGAUGAUGUGAAUGAUUGAGACUCAGUGAGAUGAUGUGGAGAUUUGGGACUCAGUGAGAUAAUUUGGAGGAUUGGUACUCAGUGAGAUAAUUUGGAGGAUUGGUACUCAGUGAGAUAAUGUGGAGGCUUGGGACUCAGUGAGAUAAUGUGGAGGCGUGGGACUCAGUGAGAUAAUGUGGAGGCUUGGGACUCAGUGAGAUAAUGUGUAGGCGUGGGACUCAGUGAGAUAAUGUGAAGGCGUGGGACUCAGUGAGAUGAUGUGAAUGAUUGGGACUCAGUGAGAUGAUGUGGAGGCGUGGGACUCAGUGAGGUGAUGUGAAGGAUUGGGACUCAGUGAGAUGAUGUGGAGGCGUGGGACUCAGUGAGGUGAUGUGAAGGAUUGGGACUCAGUAAGUGAAAUGAUGUGGACUCUUGGGACUAAUUGAGAUAAUGUGGAGUCUUAGGACUCAGUGAGAUGAUAUGGAGUCUCGGGACUCAGUAAGUGAGAUAAUGUGGAGGAUUGGGACUCAGUAAGUGAGAUAAUGUGGAGGAUUGGGACUCAGUAAGUGAGAUGAUAUGGAGUCUCGGGACUCAGUAAGUGAGAUAAUGUGGAGGAUUGGGACUCAGUAAGUGAGAUGAUAUGGAGUCUCGGGACUCAGUAAGUGAGAUAAUGUGACGGAUUGGGACUCAGUAAGUGAGAUAAUGUGAAGGAUUGGGACUCAGUAAGUGAGAUAAUGUGGAGGAUUGGGACUCAGUAAGUGAGAUAAUGUGGAGGAUUGGGACUCAGUAAGUGAGAUAAUGUGGAGGAUUGGAACUCAGUAAGUGAGAUAAUGUGGAGGAUUGGGACUCAGUAAGUGAGAUAAUGUGGAGGAUUGGGACUCAGUAAGUGAAAUAAUGUGAAUGAUUGGGACUCAGUAAGUGAAAUGAUGUGGACUCUUGGCUCUCAGUGAGAUGAUAUAGAGUCUUGGGACUCAGUGAGAUGAUGUUUGAGUCUUGGGACACUUAUACUAGACAUGCUGAUGUAUGGUUGUUGACCAAGGAAUGUUAUGUUUUUCAGGGUCACAUGAGAUUCCCAGUUGACAUUUCCCAAGACGAUUGCUGGACAAAUAGAUUUUGUGGGUUGAGAGACAGUAGGGAUCUGAUU